Molecule: microRNA, 23 nt
Filed under: Brugia malayi
Lineage: Eukaryota; Metazoa; Nematoda; Chromadorea; Rhabditida; Onchocercidae
Description: bma-miR-9515
Source: miRBase by way of RNAcentral
UGCACCAUUAUGCUGUAUGAAAU